Molecule: ribosomal RNA, 2924 nt
Filed under: Escherichia coli
Lineage: Bacteria; Pseudomonadati; Pseudomonadota; Gammaproteobacteria; Enterobacterales; Enterobacteriaceae
Description: 23S ribosomal RNA
Rfam family: Bacterial large subunit ribosomal RNA
Source: RNAcentral
GGGUUGUGAGGUUAAGCGACUAAGCGUACACGGUGGAUGCCCUGGCAGUCAGAGGCGAUGAAGGACGUGCUAAUCUGCGAUAAGCGUCGGUAAGGUGAUAUGAACCGUUAUAACCGGCGAUUUCCGAAUGGGGAAACCCAGUGUGAUUCGUCACACUAUCAUUAACUGAAUCCAUAGGUUAAUGAGGCGAACCGGGGGAACUGAAACAUCUAAGUACCCCGAGGAAAAGAAAUCAACCGAGAUUCCCCCAGUAGCGGCGAGCGAACGGGGAGCAGCCCAGAGCCUGAAUCAGUGUGUGUGUUAGUGGAAGCGUCUGGAAAGGCGUGCGAUACAGGGUGACAGCCCCGUACACAAAAAUGCACAUAUUGUGAGCUCGAUGAGUAGGGCGGGACACGUGGUAUCCUGUCUGAAUAUGGGGGGACCAUCCUCCAAGGCUAAAUACUCCUGACUGACCGAUAGUGAACCAGUACCGUGAGGGAAAGGCGAAAAGAACCCCGGCGAGGGGAGUGAAAAAGAACCUGAAACCGUGUACGUACAAGCAGUGGGAGCACGCUUAGGCGUGUGACUGCGUACCUUUUGUAUAAUGGGUCAGCGACUUAUAUUCUGUAGCAAGGUUAACCGAAUAGGGGAGCCGAAGGGAAACCGAGUCUUAACUGGGCGUUAAGUUGCAGGGUAUAGACCCGAAACCCGGUGAUCUAGCCAUGGGCAGGUUGAAGGUUGGGUAACACUAACUGGAGGACCGAACCGACUAAUGUUGAAAAAUUAGCGGAUGACUUGUGGCUGGGGGUGAAAGGCCAAUCAAACCGGGAGAUAGCUGGUUCUCCCCGAAAGCUAUUUAGGUAGCGCCUCGUGAAUUCAUCUCCGGGGGUAGAGCACUGUUUCGGCAAGGGGGUCAUCCCGACUUACCAACCCGAUGCAAACUGCGAAUACCGGAGAAUGUUAUCACGGGAGACACACGGCGGGUGCUAACGUCCGUCGUGAAGAGGGAAACAACCCAGACCGCCAGCUAAGGUCCCAAAGUCAUGGUUAAGUGGGAAACGAUGUGGGAAGGCCCAGACAGCCAGGAUGUUGGCUUAGAAGCAGCCAUCAUUUAAAGAAAGCGUAAUAGCUCACUGGUCGAGUCGGCCUGCGCGGAAGAUGUAACGGGGCUAAACCAUGCACCGAAGCUGCGGCAGCGACACUAUGUGUUGUUGGGUAGGGGAGCGUUCUGUAAGCCUGCGAAGGUGUGCUGUGAGGCAUGCUGGAGGUAUCAGAAGUGCGAAUGCUGACAUAAGUAACGAUAAAGCGGGUGAAAAGCCCGCUCGCCGGAAGACCAAGGGUUCCUGUCCAACGUUAAUCGGGGCAGGGUGAGUCGACCCCUAAGGCGAGGCCGAAAGGCGUAGUCGAUGGGAAACAGGUUAAUAUUCCUGUACUUGGUGUUACUGCGAAGGGGGGACGGAGAAGGCUAUGUUGGCCGGGCGACGGUUGUCCCGGUUUAAGCGUGUAGGCUGGUUUUCCAGGCAAAUCCGGAAAAUCAAGGCUGAGGCGUGAUGACGAGGCACUACGGUGCUGAAGCAACAAAUGCCCUGCUUCCAGGAAAAGCCUCUAAGCAUCAGGUAACAUCAAAUCGUACCCCAAACCGACACAGGUGGUCAGGUAGAGAAUACCAAGGCGCUUGAGAGAACUCGGGUGAAGGAACUAGGCAAAAUGGUGCCGUAACUUCGGGAGAAGGCACGCUGAUAUGUAGGUGAAGCGACUUGCUCGUGGAGCUGAAAUCAGUCGAAGAUACCAGCUGGCUGCAACUGUUUAUUAAAAACACAGCACUGUGCAAACACGAAAGUGGACGUAUACGGUGUGACGCCUGCCCGGUGCCGGAAGGUUAAUUGAUGGGGUCAGCGCAAGCGAAGCUCUUGAUCGAAGCCCCGGUAAACGGCGGCCGUAACUAUAACGGUCCUAAGGUAGCGAAAUUCCUUGUCGGGUAAGUUCCGACCUGCACGAAUGGCGUAAUGAUGGCCAGGCUGUCUCCACCCGAGACUCAGUGAAAUUGAACUCGCUGUGAAGAUGCAGUGUACCCGCGGCAAGACGGAAAGACCCCGUGAACCUUUACUAUAGCUUGACACUGAACAUUGAGCCUUGAUGUGUAGGAUAGGUGGGAGGCUUGGAAGUGUGGACGCCAGUCUGCAUGGAGCCGACCUUGAAAUACCACCCUUUAAUGUUUGAUGUUCUAACGUGGACCCGUGAUCCGGGUUGCGGACAGUGUCUGGUGGGUAGUUUGACUGGGGCGGUCUCCUCCUAAAGAGUAACGGAGGAGCACGAAGGUUGGCUAAUCCUGGUCGGACAUCAGGAGGUUAGUGCAAUGGCAUAAGCCAGCUUGACUGCGAGCGUGACGGCGCGAGCAGGUGCGAAAGCAGGUCAUAGUGAUCCGGUGGUUCUGAAUGGAAGGGCCAUCGCUCAACGGAUAAAAGGUACUCCGGGGAUAACAGGCUGAUACCGCCCAAGAGUUCAUAUCGACGGCGGUGUUUGGCACCUCGAUGUCGGCUCAUCACAUCCUGGGGCUGAAGUAGGUCCCAAGGGUAUGGCUGUUCGCCAUUUAAAGUGGUACGCGAGCUGGGUUUAGAACGUCGUGAGACAGUUCGGUCCCUAUCUGCCGUGGGCGCUGGAGAACUGAGGGGGGCUGCUCCUAGUACGAGAGGACCGGAGUGGACGCAUCACUGGUGUUCGGGUUGUCAUGCCAAUGGCACUGCCCGGUAGCUAAAUGCGGAAGAGAUAAGUGCUGAAAGCAUCUAAGCACGAAACUUGCCCCGAGAUGAGUUCUCCCUGACUCCUUGAGAGUCCUGAAGGAACGUUGAAGACGACGACGUUGAUAGGCCGGGUGUGUAAGCGCAGCGAUGCGUUGAGCUAACCGGUACUAAUGAACCGUGAGGCUUAACCUUACAACGCCGAAG